This 326-nucleotide ribosomal RNA is filed under the name uncultured eukaryote. Its description in RNAcentral is "partial 18S ribosomal RNA". It matches the Rfam family "Eukaryotic small subunit ribosomal RNA", at positions 1470 to 1796 of the family's 1831-position model. The record is from RNAcentral.
CCCUUAGAUGUUCUGGGCCGCACACGCGCUACACUGAAGGAGGCAGCGUGUACUCCUGGAUCGAAAGAUUUGGGUAACCCGCGAAUCUCCUUCGUGCUAGGGAUUGAGGUUUGCAAUUAUCCUUCAUGAACGAGGAAUUCCCAGUAAGUGCAAGUCAUAAGCUUGCGCUGACUACGUCCCUGCCCUUUGUACACACCGCCCGUCGCUCCUACCGAUUGAAUGAUCCGGUGAGGCCCCCGGAAUGUGGUCACGGCUUUGGUUCGCCAAACUGAGAUCGCGUGAAGCUGUCCAAACCUUAUCAUUUAGAGGAAGGAGAAGUCGUAACA